Molecule: ribosomal RNA, 469 nt
Filed under: Vibrio sp. CR-IV-E27
Lineage: Bacteria; Pseudomonadati; Pseudomonadota; Gammaproteobacteria; Vibrionales; Vibrionaceae
Description: bacterial SSU rRNA
Rfam family: Bacterial small subunit ribosomal RNA
Source: RNAcentral
AAUUGCCCUGAUGUGGGGGAUAACCAUUGGAAACGAUGGCUAAUACCGCAUGAUGCCUACGGGCCAAAGAGGGGGACCUUCGGGCCUCUCGCGUCAGGAUAUGCCUAGGUGGGAUUAGCUAGUUGGUGAGGUAAUGGCUCACCAAGGCGACGAUCCCUAGCUGGUCUGAGAGGAUGAUCAGCCACACUGGAACUGAGACACGGUCCAGACUCCUACGGGAGGCAGCAGUGGGGAAUAUUGCACAAUGGGCGCAAGCCUGAUGCAGCCAUGCCGCGUGUGUGAAGAAGGCCUUCGGGUUGUAAAGCACUUUCAGUCGUGAGGAAGGUGGUGUAGUUAAUAGCUGCAUUACUUGACGUUAGCGACAGAAGAAGCACCGGCUAACUCCGUGCCAGCAGCCGCGGUAAUACGGAGGGUGCGAGCGUUAAUCGGAAUUACUGGGCGUAAAGCGCAUGCAGGUGGUUUGUUAAGU